RNAcentral lists this ribosomal RNA (365 nucleotides) under uncultured bacterium. Its description in RNAcentral is "partial 16S ribosomal RNA". It matches the Rfam family "Bacterial small subunit ribosomal RNA", at positions 355 to 717 of the family's 1533-position model. The record is from RNAcentral.
UGAGGAAUAUUGGACAAUGGGUGAGAGCCUGAUCCAGCCAUCCCGCGUGAAGGACGACGGCCCUAUGGGUUGUAAACUUCUUUUGUAUAGGGAUAAACCUACUCUCGUGAGAGUAGCUGAAGGUACUAUACGAAUAAGCACCGGCUAACUCCGUGCCAGCAGCCGCGGUAAUACGGAGGGUGCAAGCGUUAUCCGGAUUUAUUGGGUUUAAAGGGUCCGUAGGCGGAUCUGUAAGUCAGUGGUGAAAUCUCAUAGCUUAACUAUGAAACUGCCAUUGAUACUGCAGGUCUUGAGUAAAUUUGAAGUGGCUGGAAUAAGUAGUGUAGCGGUGAAAUGCAUAGAUAUUACUUAGAACACCAAAUUUG